GACGAACGCUGGCGGCGUGCUUAACACAUGCAAGUCGAGCGGAAAGGCCACUUCGGUGGUACUCGAGCGGCGAACGGGUGAGUAACACGUGAGUAAUCUACCCCUGGCUUUGGGAUAGCCACCGGAAACGGUGAUUAAUACCGGAUACGACCACUUCUCGCAUGGGAUGGUGGUGGAAAGUUUUUUCGGCCAGGGAUGUGCUCGCGGCCUAUCAGCUUGAUGGUGAGGUAAUGGCUCACCAUGGCUUCGACGGGUAGCCGGCCUGAGAGGGUGACCGGUCACACUGGGACUGAGACACGGCCCAGACUCCUACGGGAGGCAGCAGUGGGGAAUAUUGGACAAUGGGCGGAAGCCUGAUCUAGCAACGCCGCGUGAGGGAUGACGGCCUUCGGGUUGUAAACCUCUUUCAGCAGGGACGAAGCGCAAGUGACGGUACCUGCAGAAGAAGCACCGGCCAACUACGUGCCAGCCGCCGCGGUAA
RNAcentral lists this ribosomal RNA (481 nucleotides) under uncultured bacterium. Its description in RNAcentral is "partial 16S ribosomal RNA". It matches the Rfam family "Bacterial small subunit ribosomal RNA", at positions 28 to 523 of the family's 1533-position model. The record is from RNAcentral.